GUCACAGCUGUUCCACCUUUGAAAAUCAUGUGUCCCAGUAUUCAGCCUGCUCAGCAUAAUCUCCUGUCUUUCCAGCUCUCACCUCCCAUACCUCCAGUCUCCACCUAGCCUUUGAUCCAGUCUCUGAACUGCUCUGAUUUCUCUUGUAUCUCAUUCACCCUGUGAAGGGCUUCACUUCCUUCCAUAUAUUCAGCCUAGUCCACUUAGCACAUUAUGUUAAUCAUGUCCUCAUCAUCCCUCUCUGCCCUUUCCCCUUAUUUGGAUGCACUUGCCAUGCAAACACCCAACAACUAAUCAAGCCAACCAUCUGACAACUCCACUCUCACCUUCUGUGAUAUAUACAUUCACAGCAUCUGAUUUGGCUUUGGAGUCACAAAGGCAAUCAAUACCAUCCUAAUUAUUUGCCAACAGUAUGUUGCAUACUCUUGCCUGGAAAAUCCCAUGGAUGGGGAAGCUUGGUAGGUUGCAGUCCAUGGGGUCGCUGAGAGUCAGACACGACUGAGCGACUUCACUUUUACUUUUCACUUUCAUGCAUUGGAGAAGGAAAUGGCAACCCACUCUAAUGUUCUUGCCUGGAGAAUCCCAGGGACGGGGUAGCCUGGUGGGCUGCUGUCUAUGGGGUUGCACAGAGUCGGACAUGACUGAAGUGACUUAGCAGCAGCAGUAGCAGCAGCAGUAUGUUGCAUGAGCCACAAAAAAAUAUAUCCUGUCUAGCUGACUCAUUAGAGAAGAACCUGAUGCUGGGAAAGAUUGAAGGCCAGAGGAGAAGAGGACAACAGAGGAUGAGAUGGCUGGAUGGCAUCACGGACUCAGCGGACAAAGGUUUGAGCAAGCUCUGGGAGAUGGUGAAGGACAGGGAAGCCUGGUGGGCUGUAGUCCAUGGAGCUGCAAAGAGUCGGACACGACUGAGUGACUGAACAAGAUCAACAACCUGAAGAUCACUCACUUAAGUGAUUGAGUUUACUUGCUUCCUUGAGACCUAGGUAAUAGUGUUGUAGACUCAAGAGGCACCAGCCUCUCAUGUUGGAACCAGACAGGAAAAAAAAUCAGGUACAAUUAAGGAAUUGAAAAUGGCCUACAUGUUUCAGAAACUAAUUCAGUGGCUUCUACUUUGGUUUCUCCCAAGAGAAUAGGAAAGGAUGACUCCCCUACUUUGGGCUCCAUCCAUUUCUCAACAAGCUGCCCUACCAUCUCCACCUCCUCCUACUCUUACAUUUACAGUCACUCUGUUCUGCACCUUCUGAAGAGCAAAUGUGCCAGUGAUCACUCCUCACAAUAAUCCUAGGUGAGAACCUAGGAAACGAUCAAAGACAAGCUAUUGAAAAAAAGCAUUUGGCCCUUGUGCCUUGAGCGUAAAAGCAACUAGUCAAUAAAAGAAGGCACAGGUGGAAAGAAUCUGGAUUCUGGGACUCAUCCUGCACAUAUGUGACUCUGGAACACUUAUUUUAUUAAUAGCUCCCUGAACUUUAGUCUCUCCUUUUCAGCAUGGGAAGAGAAUAUUUUGCUUGUAGGACUUAGGUCAGACUUUUUCCUUGAAAUACCUUUGAGAGAUAUGAUAAGGUGUAAAUAACAGAAUAUCAUUCAUAUUUAAUGACAUCAACAGCUCUAGUAACAUUUCCACCUGCCAAAAAAAAAAAAAAAAGAAGAAGUCUUUUUUUCCCUUAUAUCCUAAGUACCGCCUUACACAAGUUGAUCUAUCUUAUGAAUUUUCUAAAAACUGAAUGGGAUUCAAAUUUGCCAACUCACUCUCACCAUAUCCAUUAAAUUCUCCCUGCUUUCACCUUAUUUUGAAAUAUUUUCCAAGACAAAGAUAGAUGGUGGUAACUACUUUGGAGGUUCGGUAAUUGGUAAGAAAAAAUAUCAGAGGACAUCAAACAAACUAUGCAACCUUCAAAUGAAGUGUUCUUAAUAGUUAAGAAGGCUUGACUGCAGACUCACCCCAUAGAUUCUCCAUGUUAUCAGAGCCAGCAACAUAUGGGCAGUGGACGAUUUCUGCCUACACUUCACAAGCAGCUUCCCGCAUAAAUCCCCAAAGUUAAUCAUGACAAAAAGCAGUCUUGUCUGUUCCCCUGAACAGCCUGAAGCAAUUUGUUCAGCAACCACACUGCUAAGGUAGCGAUAAAGGAAAGGAGCACUGGGGGCAACUAAAAAAGAUCAAAAAUGUGGAAGAAUGUGUACAGAAUUAAGGCAACCAUAGGAAGGCGUGCCUGCUCAUGGAUCAUUUUAUCUCCUUACUCUGGAAAUAGAUGGCCAAUUACAAAGGAGAACUAAGAAUCGCCAGUUUAGAAAAAAACACAUCUUGAUUCAUUCCACUGUGUUUAGUAAUUUCUGACUCCAAAUGUACACUUAAGAAAUGGUGAAAAAAGUUGUUUAAAAAAGCAGAACACGCAAGCAUCAUCUUCAGGAGAGCAAGCUGCAUUGAAAUUAAAAAGGAAGAGAAAGGUCAGGGGUCAGGAGUUCCAGACAUACUCCUUAUUCUCAUUAUUUGGCAGCAACCAACUUCCCCUUAAUAAUCAGGGACAUUUACCCCAUCCAGCACAGUAAUCCCCUUCUUUGGGUCAAUGUUGUUAGAUGGUCAAAGUGGUCAGGUAAUAGCCUUAUUUUCCAAUUCAAUGAAAUUAUCUCCUUCAGUGGAAGCUUUCCUCCCUUUAUGAUUGCAGACUCUAGCAAGCAGAGCCCAAAGUUCAAUCCCAUGACUC
This is a long non-coding RNA of Bos grunniens (domestic yak), 2699 nucleotides long. The record is from Ensembl. NCBI's taxonomy places the organism in Eukaryota, Metazoa, Chordata, Mammalia, Artiodactyla, Bovidae.